This 421-nucleotide ribosomal RNA is filed under the name uncultured bacterium. RNAcentral describes it as "bacterial SSU rRNA". It matches the Rfam family "Bacterial small subunit ribosomal RNA", at positions 32 to 434 of the family's 1533-position model. The record is from RNAcentral.
AAUCAACGCUGGCGGCGUGCCUCAGACAUGCAAGUCGAACGCGAAAGUUCCCUUCGGGGAGCGAGUAGAGUGGCGUACGGGUGAGUAACACGUAGGUAAUCUACCUUUGGGUGGGGAAUAACAGCCGGAAACGGCUGCUAAUACCGCAUAAUGCAGCGGCUCGACAUCGAGACAGUUGUUAAAGCGGGGGAUCGCAAGACCUCGCGCCUAAAGAGGAGCCUGCGGCGGAUAGCUAGUUGGUGAGGUAAUGGCUCACCAAGGCAUCGAUCCGUAGCCGGCCUGAGAGGGCGGUCGGCCACACUGACACUGGCAUACGGGUCAGACUCCUACGGGAGGCAGCAGUCGGGAAUUUUGGGCAAUGGGCGAAAGCCUGACCAGCAACGCCGCGUGAAGGAUGAAAUCCCUCGGGAUGUAAACUUCG